CUUCUCUCUUCUACUCUUCCAGCUGUGGCGCCGCAGCGCGCUCGUUCGUGCUCGCCCCGACGCCCUCCCCUGGUAGCUUCCACAUUUGUUGUGCUCGCACGAAGCCCCACCGUCCUCCCGCGCGUCGUCGUAGAGCUCCAACCAGAACCAAAAAAAGCUGCAAUCGGCGCAUCGCCGUCGAUGCUGAGCGGAAGCGGCAGCCGAGCGUGCGUGCUACCACGGGGCGUGGAAAAGCUGCAUCCGGCUGACGGGGAAGCUGCUACCGGCACUCGCAGAAGCUGCGAUGACGACGACCCGCAAGAUGGCGACGUGCUGGAACCGGGGAAGCGGGAUGCUGGAACCAGCCAAGUUUUUUGCUGCCACCGGUGAACCAACAAAUGUUGGGUGUGGGUGCCCAGGUGAUGAGUUUGGCUGGGACCGGCGGUGAGUUUUUUCUUCGACCAGCAGCUUUUUUUUGCUGGAUCAACAUUUUUAUUUUGGUGCAACGCUCCCUGGAAGAGCUGCAUCCAAACGGCAGCAGGGCGGAGCCAACAAUGGUGGAUCUGUGGCCAGUGGCGUCUUGCAGCAACACCGGCGGUGGUGCGUGAUCGCGGGAACAGGAGGCAGCAGUGUCGCUGCAUCACGGUCCGGGCGACAAGUUGGGUGCGCCGCGAGAUGCAUGAAAGUAGAGGGGAAUUUUUCAGUGAGAUGCGCAAGGUGGAAGUGUUAGUUAGGAAGAAUGAGAUUGUACGAAUCGAUAAUCAUUGAUCGUGUGCAUGGUGCACAUAUAUAGGUAUAAGGUGGAUCGGCCUCUACUUGUCUCCUAAGAUGUACAAAUAUACGAGGGGAGAGAGAGAUACAACGGUAUAAAUACAGACCCAAGUCCUAUA
Non-coding RNA from Triticum urartu, 869 nucleotides. NCBI's taxonomy places the organism in Eukaryota, Viridiplantae, Streptophyta, Magnoliopsida, Poales, Poaceae. The record is from RefSeq and is a predicted model, not a curated record.